This is a non-coding RNA of Camellia sinensis, 254 nucleotides long. Lineage: Eukaryota; Viridiplantae; Streptophyta; Magnoliopsida; Ericales; Theaceae. The record is from RefSeq and is a predicted model, not a curated record.
UCGAAGCGAUUUCUAAGCUCCAUCGAAGAUUCAGAUCGAAGCUCCAUCGAAGCGAUUUCGAAGCUCCAUCGAAGAUUCAGAUCUAAACUCCAACGAAGAUUCCGAUCGAAGCGAUUUUGAAGCUCCAUCGACAACACCAUCUGCACUGGCAAGAGAUUCAGAGAAUCAGUGAUUUCCAGAAACUCAGAUCUGAACUUUAAUCUAUCAGCCACAAAUUUGGAGCGUUAUUUACAGAUUUCAAUUUACAGGUAAUU